GUAACUGAGGCAUACGGGAUGACUUUG
This 27-nucleotide non-coding RNA is filed under the name Cricetulus griseus (Chinese hamster). Lineage: Eukaryota; Metazoa; Chordata; Mammalia; Rodentia; Cricetidae. The record is from RNAcentral.